AUUGGGCAAAUGAGGAAUCUCAUUUUAAUGGGUAAUUUGCAUCUGAAUAUUUUCAUUGAUGCUAUCACCUUGGAGAUCUGAUGCUUUUU
This 89-nucleotide small nucleolar RNA is filed under the name Nelumbo nucifera (sacred lotus). Lineage: Eukaryota; Viridiplantae; Streptophyta; Magnoliopsida; Proteales; Nelumbonaceae. The record is from RNAcentral.